RNAcentral lists this ribosomal RNA (227 nucleotides) under uncultured bacterium. Its description in RNAcentral is "partial 16S ribosomal RNA". It matches the Rfam family "Bacterial small subunit ribosomal RNA", at positions 111 to 339 of the family's 1533-position model. The record is from RNAcentral.
UAACACGUGGGUGAUCUGCCCUGCACUUCGGGAUAAGCCUGGGAAACUGGGUCUAAUACCGGAUAUGACCUCAGGUUGCAUGACUUGGGGUGGAAAGAUUUAUCGGUGCAGGAUGGGCCCGCGGCCUAUCAGCUUGUUGGUGGGGUAAUGGCCUACCAAGGCGACGACGGGUAGCCGACCUGAGAGGGUGACCGGCCACACUGGGACUGAGACACGGCCCAGACUCC